This 326-nucleotide ribosomal RNA is filed under the name uncultured eukaryote. RNAcentral's name for it is "partial 18S ribosomal RNA". It matches the Rfam family "Eukaryotic small subunit ribosomal RNA", at positions 1470 to 1796 of the family's 1831-position model. The record is from RNAcentral.
CCCUUAGAUGUUCUGGGCUGCACGCGCGCUACACUGAUGCACUCAACGAGUUUACGACCUUGCCCGAUAGGGUUGGGUAAUCUUUUUAAAAUGCAUCGUGAUGGGGAUAGAUUAUUGCAAUUAUUAAUCUUCAACGAGGAAUUCCUAGUAAGCGCGAGUCGUCAGCUCGUGCUGAUUACGUCCCUGCCCUUUGUACACACCGCCCGUCGCUCCUACCGAUUGAGUGCUCAGGUGAAUAAUUCGGACUGCAGCAAUGUUUGGAUCCCGAACGUUGCAGCGGAAAGUUUAGUGAACCUUAUCACUUAGAGGAAGGAGAAGUCGUAACA